UUCGGGCCUUGCGCUAUCAGAUGAGCCUAGGUCGGAUUAGCUAGUUGGUAAGGUAACGGCUUACCAAGGCUACGAUGGGUAGGGGGUUCUGAGAGGGAGAUCCCCCACACUGGUACUGAGACACGGACCAGACUCCUACGGGAGGCAGCAGUGAGGAAUAUUGGACAAUGGGCGCAAGCCUGAUCCAGCCAUGCCGCGUGCAGGAUGACGGUCCUAUGGAUUGUAAACUGCUUUUAUACAGGAAGAAACACUCCGACGUGUCGGAGCUUGACGGUACUGUAAGAAUAAGGAUCGGCUAACUCCGUG
Molecule: ribosomal RNA, 306 nt
Filed under: uncultured bacterium
Lineage: Bacteria
Description: bacterial SSU rRNA
Rfam family: Bacterial small subunit ribosomal RNA
Source: RNAcentral